RNAcentral lists this microRNA precursor (143 nucleotides) under Arabidopsis lyrata. RNAcentral describes it as "miR4235 stem-loop (aly-MIR4235)". The record is from miRBase by way of RNAcentral. Lineage: Eukaryota; Viridiplantae; Streptophyta; Magnoliopsida; Brassicales; Brassicaceae.
CUGUAGUAUGUGUGAUUUCUGGGUUGUAUUGUUUUCAGUUCCUGUUCUGUAAGUGAAUAUGACCAAUACUUGUUGGUUACACUCAAGCUGUACAGAACAGGAACUGAAAACACUACAACCCCUAGAUCUUGGUACUUUUUACU